RNAcentral lists this ribosomal RNA (681 nucleotides) under Triticum aestivum (bread wheat). RNAcentral describes it as "partial small subunit ribosomal RNA". Lineage: Eukaryota; Viridiplantae; Streptophyta; Magnoliopsida; Poales; Poaceae. The record is from RNAcentral.
AUGCACCAUAAAAGGUCUCUUGGACAAAGAUGGAGAGAUAUCAUCAGUCAGUUGCUUGCCUCCUCCACAUCGCGCAUUCUGCUUAAUGGUUGCCCUGGGCUAGUGUUUACUCACAACAAGGGAUUGCGACAGGGAGAUCCUUUGUCUCUGAUGCUUUUUAUCCUGGCUAUGGACCCCCUGAUACGGAUAUUGGAUGACGCUACAGGGAGGGGCCUGCUACACCCAAUUCCUCAGAAUACUGUUAGAAUGAAAGCAAGCCUUUAUGCAGACGAUGCUGCAAUUUUUGCUUCUCCUGACCCUUUGCAGACUGAGAUCAUACUCAGGGUCCUUGAUGUCUUUGGUAGCAUAUCUGGCCUAUGUAUCAACCCUACAAAAUGUGUCUUAUACCCAAUCCGCUGCCACCAAGAUGAGCUGCAUGGCCUCCUUGAGGAUUUUGAGGGCUCGGUUGGCUCCUUCCCUUGCAAAUACUUACGGUUGCCCCUCUCAUUUAGGCAUCUCAGGAGGAUUGAUCUGCAGCCUCUGCUUGACAAGAGUGCGGGUAAAUUGAGCAUUUGUAAAGGCAAGCUCAUGAACCGGACUGGCCGUCUUGACCUCAUCAACUCAGUCCGCACGGCUACGAUCCCUUCUUCCUUACCUGUUUUGCCCCCAAUGCCUGGUUCACUAAGAAAUUUGACAAGAUGA